UACGUAGGUGGCAAGCGUUGUCCGGAUUUAUUGGGUUUAAAGGGUGCGUAGGCGGUUCCAUAAGUCAGUGGUGAAAUACGGCAGCUCAACUGUCGAGGUGCCAUUGAUACUGUGGAACUUGAGUACAGACGAGGUAGGCGGAAUUGACGGUGUAGCGGUGAAAUGCUUAGAUAUCGUCAAGAACACCGAUAGCGAAGGCAGCUUACUAGACUGUAACUGACGCUGAGGCACGAAAGUGUGGGGAUCAAACAGG
RNAcentral lists this ribosomal RNA (253 nucleotides) under uncultured bacterium. RNAcentral's name for it is "partial 16S ribosomal RNA". It matches the Rfam family "Bacterial small subunit ribosomal RNA", at positions 524 to 776 of the family's 1533-position model. The record is from RNAcentral.